GAUAAACGCUGGCGCUGCAAAAAAGACAUGCAAGUCGAACGAACUCAACCUUUAGUUUACUAAUGGAGCGGUUAGUGGCGGACUGGUGAGUACCACGUAAGCAACCUGCCUAUCAGAGGGGAACAACAGUUAGAAAUGACUGCUAAUACCGCAUAUGCCUUAAGUAUCGCAUGGUACAAGAGGGAAAGGAGCAAUCCGCUGAUAGAUGGGCUUGCGUCUGAUUAGAUAGUUGGUGGGGUAACGGCCUACCAAGUCGACGAUCAGUAGCCGGACUGAGAGGUUGAACGGCCACAUUGGGACUGAGAUACGGCCCAGACUCCUACGGGAGUUUUUUUUUUUUGGGAAUAUUGCGCAAUGGAGGAAACUCUGACGCAGUGACGCCGCGUGGAGGAAGAAGGUUUUCGGAUUGUAAACUGCUUUAGACAGGGAAGAACAAGGACAGUACCUGUAGAAUAAGCUCCGGCUAACUAC
This 471-nucleotide ribosomal RNA is filed under the name uncultured bacterium. RNAcentral describes it as "partial 16S ribosomal RNA". It matches the Rfam family "Bacterial small subunit ribosomal RNA", at positions 28 to 504 of the family's 1533-position model. The record is from RNAcentral.